GUGCCAGCCGCCGCGGUAAGACGUAGGAUGCGAGCGUUAUUCGGAUUUAUUGGGCGUAAAGCGUGCGUAGGCGGCUGUUUAAGUCUGGUGUUAAAGCUAGGGGCUCAACCCCUGUGGUGCAUCGGAUACUGGGCAGCUUGAGUGCGGUAGGGGAAGGUGGAAUUCCGAGUGUAGCGGUGAAAUGCGUAGAUAUUCGGAAGAACACCGGUGGCGAAGGCGACCUUCUGGGCCGCAACUGACGCUGAGGCACGAAAGCCUGGGGAGCGAACGGGAUUAGAUACCCCUGUAGUCC
This 292-nucleotide ribosomal RNA is filed under the name uncultured bacterium. Its description in RNAcentral is "partial 16S ribosomal RNA". It matches the Rfam family "Bacterial small subunit ribosomal RNA", at positions 505 to 796 of the family's 1533-position model. The record is from RNAcentral.